RNAcentral lists this ribosomal RNA (431 nucleotides) under uncultured bacterium. RNAcentral's name for it is "bacterial SSU rRNA". It matches the Rfam family "Bacterial small subunit ribosomal RNA", at positions 355 to 796 of the family's 1533-position model. The record is from RNAcentral.
UCGAGGAUCUUCGGCAAUGGGCGCAAGCCUGACCGAGCGACGCCGCGUGUGCGAUGAAGGCCUUCGGGUUGUAAAGCACUGUCGAGGGGGAGGAAGCCGCAAGGUUGACCUAUCCCUGGAGGAAGCACGGGCUAAGUUCGUGCCAGCAGCCGCGGUAAGACGAACCGUGCAAACGUUGUUCGGAAUCACUGGGCUUAAAGGGCGCGUAGGCGGGCGAUCAAGUCCGGGGUGAAAGCCUCCAGCUUAACUGGAGAAGUGCCUUGGAUACUGGUCGCCUCGAGGAAGGUAGGGGCAUCUGGAACAAUGGGUGGAGCGGUGAAAUGCGUUGAUAUCCAUUGGAACUCCGGUGGCGAAGGCGAGGUGCUGGACCUUUUCUGACGCUGAGGCGCGAAAGCCAGGGGAGCGAACGGGAUUAGAUACCCCCGUAGUCC